RNAcentral lists this ribosomal RNA (459 nucleotides) under uncultured bacterium. RNAcentral's name for it is "partial 16S ribosomal RNA". It matches the Rfam family "Bacterial small subunit ribosomal RNA", at positions 338 to 795 of the family's 1533-position model. The record is from RNAcentral.
CCUACGGGUGACAGCAGUGAGGAAUAUUGGUCAAUGGACGAGAGUCUGAACCAGCCAAGUAGCGUGAAGGAUGAAUGCCCUAUGGGUUGUAAACUUCUUUUAUAUGGGAAUAAAAUGUUCCACGUGUGGGAUUUUGUAUGUACCAUAUGAAUAAGGAUCGGCUAACUCCGUGCCAGCAGUCGCGGUAAUACGGCGGAUACGAUCGUUAUCCGGCUUUAUUGGUGUAAAAGGGUGCGCAGGCGGAAGAUCAAGUAAGCGGUAAAAUUGAGGGGCUCAACCUCUUCGAGCCGUUGAAACUGGGUUUCGUGAGUGAGCGAGAAGUAUGCGGAAUGCGUGGUGUAGCGGUGAAAUGCAUAGAUAUCACGCAGAACUCCGAUUGCGAAGGCAGCAUGCCGGCGCUCAACUGACGCUGAUGCACGAAAGUGUGGGUAUCGAACAGGAUUAGAUACCCCAGUAGUC